CAGUCGCCGCGGUAAUACGAAGGGGGCUAGCGUUGCUCGGAAUGACUGGGCGUAAAGGGCGCGUAGGCGGAUGGCACAGUCAGAUGUGAAAUUCCCGGGCUUAACCUGGGGGCUGCAUUUGAUACGUGUUGUCUAGAGUGAGGAAGAGGGUCGUGGAAUUCCCAGUGUAGAGGUGAAAUUCGUAGAUAUUGGGAAGAACACCGGUGGCGAAGGCGGCGACCUGGUCCUUUACUGACGCUGAGGCGCGAAAGCGUGAGGAGCAAACAGGAUUAGAUACCCCAGUAGUCCCUGUCUCUUAUAA
Molecule: ribosomal RNA, 301 nt
Filed under: uncultured bacterium
Lineage: Bacteria
Description: partial 16S ribosomal RNA
Rfam family: Bacterial small subunit ribosomal RNA
Source: RNAcentral